RNAcentral lists this ribosomal RNA (446 nucleotides) under uncultured bacterium. RNAcentral describes it as "bacterial SSU rRNA". It matches the Rfam family "Bacterial small subunit ribosomal RNA", at positions 329 to 792 of the family's 1533-position model. The record is from RNAcentral.
GGCCAGACUCCUACGGGAGGCAGCAGUGGGGGAUAUUGCACAAUGGGGGAAACCCUGAUGCAGCGACGCCGCGUGGGUGAAGAAGCGCCUCGGCGCGUAAAGCCCUGUCAGCAGGGAAGAAAAUGACGGUACCUGAAGAAGAAGCCCCGGCUAACUACGUGCCAGCAGCCGCGGUAAUACGUAGGGGGCAAGCGUUAUCCGGAUUUACUGGGUGUAAAGGGGGCGCAGACGGCGAUGCAAGCCAGGAGUGAAAGCCCGGGGCCCAACCCCGGGACUGCUCUUGGAACUGCGUGGCUGGAGUGCAGGAGGGGCAGGCGGAAUUCCUGGUGUAGCGGUGAAAUGCGUAGAUAUCAGGAGGAACACCGGUGGCGAAGGCGGCUUUCUGGCUCAUAACUGACGCUGAGGCGCGAAAGCGUGGGGAGCAAACAGGAUUAGAUACCCCUGCA